GUAGUAACAAGGUCUCCGUAGGUGAACCUGCGGAGGGAUCAUUACACAAAUAUGAAGGCGGGCUGGAACCUCUCGGGGUUACAGCCUUGCUGAAUUAUUCACCCUUGUCUUUUGCGUACUUCUUGUUUCCUUGGUGGGUUCGCCCACCACUAGGACAAACAUAAACCUUUUGUAAUUGCAAUCAGCGUCAGUAACAAAUUAAUAAUUACAACUUUCAACAACGGAUCUCUUGGUUCUGGCAUCGAUGAAGAACGCAGCGAAAUGCGAUAAGUAGUGUGAAUUGCAGAAUUCAGUGAAUCAUCGAAUCUUUGAACGCACAUUGCGCCCUUUGGUAUUCCAAAGGGCAUGCCUGUUCGAGCGUCAUUUGUACCCUCAAGCUUUGCUUGGUGUUGGGCGUCUUGUCUCUAGCUUUGCUGGAGACUCGCCUUAAAGUAAUUGGCAGCCGGCCUACUGGUUUCGGAGCGCAGCACAAGUCGCACUCUCUAUCAGCAAAGGUCUAGCAUCCAUUAAGCCUUUUUUUCAACUUUUGACCUCGGAUCAGGUAGGGAUACCCGCUGAACUUAAGCAUAUCAAUAA
This 576-nucleotide ribosomal RNA is filed under the name Alternaria alternata. RNAcentral describes it as "eukaryotic LSU rRNA". The stretch from base 210 to 363 matches the Rfam family "5.8S ribosomal RNA". The record is from RNAcentral. Lineage: Eukaryota; Fungi; Ascomycota; Dothideomycetes; Pleosporales; Pleosporaceae.